GUAUAUAUAAUUUAAAUAAAAUAUUAAACUGUGACUUUAAUUAUGAGAGUUAA
This 53-nucleotide transfer RNA is filed under the name Aneides lugubris. RNAcentral's name for it is "partial tRNA-His". Lineage: Eukaryota; Metazoa; Chordata; Amphibia; Caudata; Plethodontidae. The record is from RNAcentral.